RNAcentral lists this unclassified non-coding RNA (1197 nucleotides) under Hevea brasiliensis (rubber tree). The record is from RNAcentral. Lineage: Eukaryota; Viridiplantae; Streptophyta; Magnoliopsida; Malpighiales; Euphorbiaceae.
AUAACAUUCACAUGUUCCUUCCACUUGCUUCCUUUUUCUUCUUCACUACUACAUAACUUCUCUAGCUACCCUAAAAUUGUCACAAUCCUUAAUUUCUGUUUCUAUCAAUUUUGGAUUUUUUUUCUCAUCGGCAGAUAUGUCGAAUUUAUGUGACGCUCGCCGGAGGAAUGGAAACGGCAAGGCGCCGGAGAGAUCAAGUUUCGUACAGACUUGUAACUUGUUGAGUCAGUUUAUUAAAGGGAAAGCUACUAUUAGAGAUCUGAAUCUCGGAAUCGCCGGUCAGCCGGAAGCUGCAGGGAAAACUGAAACUGCAACUAUGGAUUUAUUAACAGUCAUGGAAAAACCAUCUAUUGAUCUAACAAAAGAAGAACACAAAUCCGUAGAUCUUGUUACAACAGAGUCUUCUAGAGAGAAGGAGGCCGCUGUAAAUGAGCCCAGCACAAGCAAAGAGGCACCAAAGGAGCCUAAGGCAGCCCAAUUGACUAUGUUCUAUGAUGGUAAAGUGAUUGUUUUUGAUGAUUUCCCUGCUGACAAAGCUAGAGCAGUGAUGUUAUUGGCUAGUAAAGGAUGUCCUCAGAGUUCAUUUGGGACUUUCCAGGCUAUAAACAUCGACAAAAUUAACACAUGUUCUCCUGCCCCUGCUUCUUUGACAAGUAAUAGAACUGAUUCUGUUGCACCACAGCAACAACACCUCCAGAUUAAGCCAGACUCUUGCUCUGCUGCACCGCAACAGCACAAGCACAAUUCGCCCCCACUCCAUGUUUGUAGUAGUACUAAAACUGAUCAGCUUAAGCUCGGAUCAGUUUCAUCUGCACCCUUAGUAGAGCAGGAGCAACACAAGCAAAUCCAGUCACAGGCUGCCGAAAUUAGCAGCAGCUCCGAGCUACCUAUCGCAAGAAGAUCUUCACUUCAUAGGUUUCUCGAGAAGAGGAAAGAUAGGGCAACUGUUAGAGCUCCAUACCAAGUUGUACGUAACAAUCCGUUGUUACCAUCUUCUUCGAAUACUAAUGGUGAAUCAUCUUCUAAGGAUAGCGAAGAUCAGCUCGAUCUCAAUUUCAAGUUAUAGCCAGAACUCCACUCUCGCAGUUGGAAUUCCAUAAGCUUUUUUUUGGUUGACCACCACUGCAUGAGCUAGUAGUAUUAAUAUAUAUUUAGAUCAGUGAUUUGAAGAUUAUUUUUCCAGCUCAGCUUAGCUUA